Molecule: ribosomal RNA, 301 nt
Filed under: uncultured bacterium
Lineage: Bacteria
Description: partial 16S ribosomal RNA
Rfam family: Bacterial small subunit ribosomal RNA
Source: RNAcentral
CAGCAGCCGCGGGAAUACGAAGGGGGCUAGCGUUGCUCGGAAUGACUGGGCGUAAAGGGCGCGUAGGCGGUUUUGACAGUCUGAUGUGAAAUUCCUGGGCUUAACCUGGGGGCUGCGUUUGAGACGUCAAGACUAGAGUGUGAGAGAGGGUUGUGGAAUUCCCAGUGUAGAGGUGAAAUUCGUAGAUAUUGGGAAGAACACCGGUGGCGAAGGCGGCAACCUGGCUCAUUACUGACGCUGAGGCGCGAAAGCGUGGGGAGCAAACAGGAUUAGAUACCCGUGUAGUCCCUGUCUCUUAUAU